GCAGGUCUUUCCAUCGCCUACCCUCCUGCUCCCGCUGUCGCUUCUGCUUAAACGUGGUGUUAUUAAACGUGGUGUUAUUCCUCGUGCGGUAUAUCCAAAGCGUGGUAUAUUUAUUCGUGUGAUAUUCUGAAAGCAUGGAUACAUUAUUUCCAGGAAAAACAGAAAAUGUGUCGUCGGGAUCGCCUCCCUCGAAGAAGGACUUUGUUUCUUGAAAAGUGAGAAAAAUACGUAUUGAAGUAAUCAUUGAAAUUUUGAC
Penaeus indicus is the source of this 256-nucleotide long non-coding RNA. RefSeq lists it as uncharacterized. The transcript has 2 exons. Lineage: Eukaryota; Metazoa; Arthropoda; Malacostraca; Decapoda; Penaeidae. The record is from RefSeq and is a predicted model, not a curated record.